RNAcentral lists this ribosomal RNA (384 nucleotides) under uncultured bacterium. Its description in RNAcentral is "bacterial SSU rRNA". It matches the Rfam family "Bacterial small subunit ribosomal RNA", at positions 28 to 415 of the family's 1533-position model. The record is from RNAcentral.
GACGAACGCUGGCGGCGUGCUUAACACAUGCAAGUCGAGCGGAAAGGCCCUUCGGGGUACUCGAGCGGCGAACGGGUGAGUAACACGUGGGUAACCUGCCCUUCACUCUGGGAUAACUCCGGGAAACCGGGGCUAAUACCGGAUACGACCACUUUAGGCAUCUUCGGUGGUGGAAAGUUUUUCGGUUGGAGGAUGGACCCGCGGCCUAUCAGCUUGUUGGUGGGGUAAUGGCCUACCAAGGCAGUGACGGGUAGCCGGCCUGAGAGGGCGACCGGCCACACUGGGACUGAGACACGGCCCAGACUCCUACGGGAGGCAGCAGUGGGGAAUAUUGCGCAAUGGGCGGGAAGCCUGACGCAGCGACGCCGCGUGAGGGAUGACGGG